UUUGGACAAUGGGGGCAACCCUGAUCCAGCCAUCCCGCGUGUGCGAUGAAGGCCUUCGGGUUGUAAAGCACUUAUGGCAGUGAAGAAAAGGCUCUGGCUAAUACCUGGAGCUGCUGUCGGUACCUGCAGAAUAAGUGCCGGUUAACUACGUGCCAGCAGCCGCGGUAAUACGUAGGGUGCAAGCGUUAAUCGGAAUUACUGGGCGUAAAGCGUGCGCAGGCAGUUCGUCAAGAAGGAUGUGAAAUCCCAGGGCUUAACCUUGGAACUGCAUUCUUAACUGCCGGGCUAGAGUAUGUCAGAGGGGGGUAGAAUUCCGCGUGUAGCAGUGAAAUGCGUAGAGAUGAGGAGGAAUACCGAUGGCGAAGGCAGCCCCCUGGGAUAAUACUGACGCUCAUGCACGAAAGCGUGGGGAGCAAAC
This 418-nucleotide ribosomal RNA is filed under the name uncultured bacterium. RNAcentral's name for it is "partial 16S ribosomal RNA". It matches the Rfam family "Bacterial small subunit ribosomal RNA", at positions 363 to 773 of the family's 1533-position model. The record is from RNAcentral.